GUGAGCAGGCGCGUCCCCGGGGAGCCCAGGGCGCAGGCGCAUAGCCAGGUCCGCGCGGGGUCUGCGGAGCCGUGUGGGUCGUGGUCUCCGCUGCUGGGAUGGAGGUGGGGGGCCGCGACGCUGUGAGAUUGUUUGAGUUCCCCACGGACGAGGCGCUCCCUUCUCCUUCCGUGGCUAGCGACUGGGGGAGGUCACCCGGGACCGAAAUUCACGCCUGAAGUGGCUGCAGUCAGAGGCGCGCAGAUUGGGAAGUUGGCCAUCAUGUAUAUAGAGAGGUUGAAAACUGCUCGGAACUCUGCGAAGGUGGGGAUGACGUAUUUGACUGCAUAUCGAGACGGUACUUGUUUGCAUAUGAAGAAGUUGUGGCACAACCCCAGUAAGGGACGUGACACCCCCCCUUCCCCCCACCCCGCGCUGUGACAGGCAGCCCCAAAGGACGCCACCCUUUUCUGCGUUGCGGACCUGCUCAGUGCCCAACUAGCAUCUCUCUGUGGUCAGCUGUGGGUGUCACCACUAGCCAACUCUUUAAAGACGCUUCCAGAAAUUUCCUCUGAGCCUGGGAGAGGACAGUAAAUAUACCUUGCAAGCAUUCAGGUCCAGAGGUACUGGGACGAGAACCCUGGGAUAUGAAAGGAGGGUCCAAAGCACGGGCCCCUCCUUGGAGAAGGCCGGCCUUGGGCAGGGGAGCUGCACCCCCAGGCCUCUGGCUCCCUGUGUGCUCAGAUGGCCGAUUGCGCCUAUUUUCGUCAGAGUCUACUUUGUCCUGAGAUGCUGACUUGCGUUCCUCCUUCCCACCCACCUGCCACAAGAUUCUUUGGGGGCCUUCUGACUCCCCACUCCUUCACUAGCAGUUUUGAUGAAUGAAGAGAAUAUAUUGAAUGGUGUCUGGCACACAGAUACUAGGUGACUCUAUGGGACCACAGAGAAGGGCAGGAGUGAUGGAGCAUCACGCCUGAGAUGAAGCCGAAAGACUACAGCUUCUACAUCUUCAACAUCACUCCCUCUGGGGAAACCAGCUGCCGCGUUGGGAGGAUACUCAGGGAACCUCUGAAGAAGCCCCCCAGGGUGCAGAACUGAGGCCUCCAACACUGAUGAUGCGAGUGAGCCCCCCAAGGGGGCAGCCUGGGCCGGCAGCGCAAACUGAGGCCCUGAAGGGGCCAUGAGCCAGCAGCACCCAGCCUCGCUGCUCCCAGAUUCUGACUCGCAGAAACUGGGUCAUAAUAAAUGUUUGCUGUCUCGGG
Molecule: long non-coding RNA, 1241 nt
Organism: Lutra lutra (Eurasian river otter)
Lineage: Eukaryota; Metazoa; Chordata; Mammalia; Carnivora; Mustelidae
Exons: 2
Source: RefSeq, a predicted model, not a curated record